This 265-nucleotide unclassified non-coding RNA is filed under the name uncultured fungus. Its description in RNAcentral is "sequence contains ITS2". The stretch from base 1 to 52 matches the Rfam family "5.8S ribosomal RNA", at positions 103 to 154 of the family's 154-position model. The record is from RNAcentral. Lineage: Eukaryota; Fungi.
AACGCAUAUUGCGCCCUUUGGUAUUCCGAAGGGCAUGCCUGUUCGAGCGUCAUGAUCAACCAUCAAGCCUGGCUUGUCGUUGGACCCUGUAGUCUCUGGGCGACAGGUCCGAAAGAUAAUGACGGUGUCAUGGCAACCCCGAAUGCAACGAGCUUUUUUUAUUUUAUUUAAUAAGCACGCAUUUAGUGGUUGGCAAGGCCCCCUCGUGCGUUAUUAUUUUCUUACGGUUGACCUCGGAUCAGGUAGGAAUACCCGCUGAACUUAA